This is a long non-coding RNA of Protobothrops mucrosquamatus (brown spotted pit viper), 187 nucleotides long. RefSeq lists it as uncharacterized. The transcript has 4 exons. Lineage: Eukaryota; Metazoa; Chordata; Lepidosauria; Squamata; Viperidae. The record is from RefSeq and is a predicted model, not a curated record.
AGUGGUCUUCCGGGAGGAAACGGUCAGAAAGGCUCACCGGGACCGUCUGGACUUCCAGGUUUUCCUGGAUCACCAGGACCUCCGGGACCACCGGGUCUCCCUGGAGUAUUCGACCAUACUAGAGAUCUUCAGUGUCCAUCGCUCUGCCCACCGGGCCUUCCAGGACCACCGGGAAUACCCGGAUUCA